RNAcentral lists this ribosomal RNA (253 nucleotides) under uncultured bacterium. RNAcentral describes it as "partial 16S ribosomal RNA". It matches the Rfam family "Bacterial small subunit ribosomal RNA", at positions 524 to 776 of the family's 1533-position model. The record is from RNAcentral.
UACGUAGGGGGCAAGCGUUGUCCGGAUUUAUUGGGCGUAAAGAGCUCGUAGGCGGUCUGUCGCGUCUGCUGUGAAAACUCAGGGCUUAACCCCGAGCCUGCAGUGGAUACGGGCAGACUAGAGGUAGGUAGGGGAGAAUGGAAUUCCCGGUGUAGCGGUGAAAUGCGCAGAUAUCGGGAGGAACACCGGUGGCGAAGGCGGUUCUCUGGGCCUUACCUGACGCUGAGGAGCGAAAGCGUGGGGAGCGAACAGG